This 74-nucleotide transfer RNA is filed under the name Eubacteriales bacterium. RNAcentral's name for it is "tRNA-Arg". It matches the Rfam family "tRNA". Rfam says of the family: Transfer RNA (tRNA) molecules are approximately 80 nucleotides in length. Their secondary structure includes four short double-helical elements and three loops (D, anti-codon, and T loops). Further hydrogen bonds mediate the characteristic L-shaped molecular structure. tRNAs have two regions of fundamental functional importance: the anti-codon, which is responsible for specific mRNA codon recognition, and the 3' end, to which the tRNAs corresponding amino acid is attached (by aminoacyl-tRNA synthetases). tRNAs cope with the degeneracy of the genetic code in two manners: having more than one tRNA (with a specific anti-codon) for a particular amino acid; and 'wobble' base-pairing, i.e. permitting non-standard base-pairing at the 3rd anti-codon position. The record is from RNAcentral. Lineage: Bacteria; Bacillati; Bacillota; Clostridia; Eubacteriales.
GUCUACGUAGCUCAGCAGGAUAGAGCACGCGCCUCCUAAGCGCGGGGUCGGAGGUUCGAAUCCUCUCGUGGACG